UUUUGUAAAAAAUUCAGCUUAAAAUUUGAAACAUUUUUUAGAAAUAAAAAAUCAUUCUUCAUGUGAAGUUUGAUUUAAAUGUUUUUUUUUUUUCAUACAUUUUCAGAAUCUUGGGAGAAGUUCUUCAUCAUCCUGACAGGAAUAACUUACGGAGCUCAUCAAUCUGUUGUUGAAACCUUAAAAUCUUUGGGUCAAACUGAGGCGACGUCUCCUGAAGAAGCUGACUACUGUCUGGUUUUCUGUCCCGUCAUCGUUGAAACGGAAAUCAGUGAGGCCAUGGAGCAUCUUCUGGAUGGUAAAGCAGCCGUUCUGGUGGUGAUGCAUCACACCUUCAAUCCUGAGCGAGUGAUUUCUCCCAGCAGCAAACUGGUGACAGACCCGAGAGUCCGACUGACUCUGGACUGUCUGUUCUACCAGGACAAAUUGCUCGAAUGUAAAUUCAACAAGAACAUGGAGACCAGCAUCAAGACGUUCUUCAAAGCCUCCCAGUCAGAGCAAUUCAACCCGCUCAGAGCCAAAGCUGCUUCUUCAACCACCGACAGUCUGCAUGUCGUUUUCCGAGACAACAAGCAAGUGUUUCUCAGAGAAGAAGACGUUACUGCAGAUAAACUCAGUCGCAUAUUCCAG
This 627-nucleotide long non-coding RNA is filed under the name Salarias fasciatus (jewelled blenny). RNAcentral describes it as "lncRNA (ENSSFAG00005000728.1)". The record is from RNAcentral. Lineage: Eukaryota; Metazoa; Chordata; Actinopteri; Blenniiformes; Blenniidae.